RNAcentral lists this ribosomal RNA (409 nucleotides) under uncultured bacterium. RNAcentral's name for it is "bacterial SSU rRNA". It matches the Rfam family "Bacterial small subunit ribosomal RNA", at positions 30 to 441 of the family's 1533-position model. The record is from RNAcentral.
AUUGAACGCUGGCGGCAUGCCUUACACAUGCAAGUCGAACGGCAGCACGGGAGCAAUCCUGGUGGCGAGUGGCGAACGGGUGAGUAAUAUAUCGGAACGUGCCCAGUCGUGGGGAUAACGUAGCGAAAGCUACGCUAAUACCGCAUACGAUCUAUGGAUGAAAGCGGGGGAUCGCAAGACCUCGCGCGAUUGGAGCGGCCGAUAUCAGAUUAGGUAGUUGGUGAGGUAAAGGCUCGCCAAGCCGACGAUCUGUAGCUGGUCUGAGAGGACGACCAGCCACACUGGGACUGAGACACGGCCCAGACUCCUACGGGAGGCAGCAGUGGGGAAUUUUUGGGACAAUGGGCGCAAGCCUGAUCCAGCAAUGCCGCGUGCAGGAUGAAGGCCUCGGUUGUAACUGCUUUGUACG